CCUACGGGUGGCUGCAGUGGGGAAUAUUGGACAAUGGGCGAAAGCCUGAUCCAGCCAUGCCGCGUGUGUGAAGAAGGCCUUCGGGUUGUAAAGCACUUUCAGUGGGGAAGAAAGCCUUGGGGCUAAUACCCUCGAGGAAGGACAUCACCCACAGAAGAAGCACCGGCUAACUCCGUGCCAGCAGCCGCGGUAAUACGGAGGGUGCGAGCGUUAAUCGGAAUUACUGGGCGUAAAGCGCGCGUAGGCGGUCUGAUAAGCCGGUUGUGAAAGCCCCGGGCUCAACCUGGGAACGGCAUCCGGAACUGUCAGGCUAGAGUGCAGGAGAGGAAGGUAGAAUUCCCGGUGUAGCGGUGAAAUGCGUAGAGAGCGGGAGGAAUACCAGUGGCGAAGGCGGUCUUCUGGACUGACACUGACGCUGAGGUGCGAAAGCGUGGGUAGCAAACAGGAUUAGAUACCCGAGUAGUC
This 465-nucleotide ribosomal RNA is filed under the name Vreelandella stevensii. RNAcentral's name for it is "partial 16S ribosomal RNA". It matches the Rfam family "Bacterial small subunit ribosomal RNA", at positions 338 to 795 of the family's 1533-position model. The record is from RNAcentral. Lineage: Bacteria; Pseudomonadati; Pseudomonadota; Gammaproteobacteria; Oceanospirillales; Halomonadaceae.